CCCCUUUUUUUCCCUGUCGCCUUUUUGUCCCCCUCUCGCUCUCGUCCUUUUUUUCCUCUCUUCUCUCGUCUCUCUCCUCGUCUCUCUCUUUCUCUCUCCACGUCCCUCUCUUUCUCUCUCCACGUCUCUCUCUUUCUCUCUCCACCCCUCCCCCCUCUCUUCAAUCAAACUUGAGGCGCCUGGAAGUCCCGCCUCCCCGACCGACACGGGUUGGCUGCCGGGGCCCGUUGCCAAGUCCAUUUGCGUCAUUUCCGCUAUCAGGUAAUAAUUUCGUGACCAGAGAUGCGUGCAUUUUUGAAACAAGUUUGAUGAAAGGCUCGUUGGACCCAAAAUUAUUCAGUGAAUUUAUUAGAUGAAAGACCAAUGCCCAAUUAUUAAUAAUUGGCUAAAAAAAUAUUUGAAGUUGUAAAGAAAGGAGCAAAUACCAGUGAGAAGUUUCCUGUAAAGUAUGCCUGGAUAUUUUUCCAGUUUCAGAAUCAGAUUACUUAAAUUGACUUCAGAGCAUGUUCUAGAAGGAAAUGACAAAUAUAACAAGUACUAGUAGUAUCAAGGUGUGCCAUGUCAGUGUUGUUGCUUACAGUGGAUAUUCUGUAAAUAUAGAUUGAUGGAGUGGCAUAAGUACAGUCCUUCUAGGAAAUCGUGGUCAUAUGGACAGAAGAUGUGAUGAAAUUCUUUUCCCGGAAUUUGGUCUGGGCCAGACUGAUAUCCUUUUUCGAUGACUCUGACUGAAGAUGUUUUCACUGUGGGAUGAGGUAGUAGGUUGUAUAGUUUUAGGGUCAUACCCACCACUGGGAGAUAACUAUACAAUCUACUGUCUUUCCCAAAGUGGAGAAAAUCAACAGCUGCAUCAUGGUUUUCAUUUGAAAUGAAUAAAAGAAAUUCACGACUGAGUAGUUUAAGACCAUUCAGUGAGUUACCCUGUAAAUCGUUCUGGUAGUGCAUUUUACUUAAAUGUGCACUAUUUAAUGAGAAUCAGGGUUUUUUUUUUUCCUGAUCCAGAAAAAGUACUUCUGUCUUUCCCCACCAAGUAGUAAACAUCUUAAUAUAUCUUUGUUUAUCAUUUUCUUCACGUGCAUAAUGGCCAAUGGCAAAGUCAUGCAAAUUAGUAGGCACAAAAAGCAAAUAAAAAAGAAUACUUAAAAUGUACUUGUGUUGUUUCCCAAAUGCUAAAGGAUUUGGGAAGAACUUGAGUUUCUUGUAACUGUUAAGCAAGAUAAAGCUUGUUUGAAAUACUCAAGUUAGUUUGUAAGCUCCUUGAGAGCAGGGGUCUUGUCUUUUUUAAAUUCUCUAUCUCCAUUCCUUAGGUAUUUUAUACAGUGCAGUGCACCUUUAGGGUACUCAAAAUAUUGUUGACUUGUUAAGAUGUGUGUGUGACUUUAAAUUCACAAAGAAAAGACGUUGCUAUAGAUGUUCAAGUAUUUUAGGUACAGAAGUCCUUGUAACUCAGUUGUUGUCUGUGUUUGCUAAGGAUGGAUUGCUCUGGCAGAGUGAGGUAGUAGAUUGUAUAGUUUUUAGGGUAGUAAUUUUAUCCUUUUCCGGAGAUAACUAUACAAUCUAUUGCCUUCCCUGAGGAGCAGAAUUUCUACGGUGGUUUCUAUCCGGGUUUGACUGUUGGGAGCAUUUAACUUUAUGCAUUGUUAUUUGUGGUAUGUAAACUUGACUUUUUUUUUCCCCCUCUAAAGCUAAAAUUUUCAUGUCAAUUUUAACAUUCUUUCUAUAUCACCAAGGGGACAGGUUCCAGGUUCUGUUUGUUGGGUAUGGUGCUUUGGUUAUUACUGCCUGUUAACAAUAUUUCACAACUAAGAAUUGACUAGAUCUGGUCAAAGGAUGGUUUGGCUUAGAGUGUCGUUGUCUCCAUUGUCACCUGCAGAUUGACUGGACAGGGCAGUGCAUUAAUUUUAUGGUCUGUGUGGUGGGCAUGGUUAGUGUGUGAGUUGUAGAUGUUCCUGUGUUCCUGACCAGAGAGGAAGAGCAACUGAAAAUCUCUUAAAAGCCAUUGUAGCUAGAAUUUACUGAAGAAGAAAAUGGCUCCUAGCGCCCUCUGGUGUAAAAAUUACUGAGGAGCUUAAGGGGACAUGUUAGUUUGGCUGUGAUGUUUUUUUUGUUUUUUCUUUCCAGUGAACCUUGGAUCUAAGCCUAGGAACUGUAUUGAAAAUAUGCUCUUACCCUUUUGUUUAUAUGCCAUUUACUAACUUUUGUCCCAGGUAGUAUGAUAUGGAAAUGGGAUUUUUUUUAAAAAUUAAUAUAUAGAUUAGUUAACACUGAGAUAACUGUACGUGCCAUCAGGUUGUUUGUGUGUGGGGGGGGGGGGGGGAACCCACCACCAUGUUUAAUUCAUUCCCCAUAGUCUCUUCUAAUUGUCCCUAGACAGAUUAUAUUGAUGUACCUAGGAAAAACAUUAAUUAGCAAUAAACAUUGCUGGGGGGGGGCAUGAUAACCAUUUCUUUUGUACUUAAUCCAAACUGAGCCUUCCAUUAACUUCAUAUCAGAUUUUUCUAAUUUGAAUUACUCUUGAUAACUAAAUUACCCCAAAUCCUUGGAAGAGUGUGUGGAAUCCAGGAGGAGCAUACUCUGUCAAAUUGAGGCAAUGAGGAGUGAGUGGUGCAAGUUAAACCUCUUGGAUUGCGAUGAGACCCGCUAAUUAAAUUGUAGCUUUUUCUUUUGUUUGUGAUUCAUUUUCCCACAUUAUUAGGUAAGCACAGUGUACAAGUGGCCAAUUAAACUUCAAGUUCUUAGAAGAAAGGCACAAAUGGAAAGAUGAAAUUGAUCUAUAUUUCUGAAACUACUAAGUCUAAACAAAGCCCAAAUUUAACAGCGCUUCAGUGCACCUGCCAAAUAGAAGAACCUUAGAAGAAACUAUGGGCUCCUAGGAAGAGGUAGUAGGUUGCAUAGUUUUAGGGCAGUGAUUUUGCUCAUAAGGUGUUAACUAUACAACCUGCUGCCUUUCUUAGGGCUUUAUUAUUACACCGGGACCUGUUACUUGGCUCAGUUUAAGCAAACUUCUGCACGUUGAACUUACAAAAGGACUGGAAAAAACCAAACUUAUUGAAUGUUCUUUGAGCAUUGCAUCAGGGCAUAUAGCUCGAGUGUUUACAUCCCAAGUUUGUGCUGAAGUAAUGCAGGGUAAGUGUAGUUGCAGCUUACAGCAUUAGUAACUUUAAGAUAAGGGUUUUUGAGUUGAAGAUGCUAAAUGCUGCUGUUGCAUUUGAGGUCAGUGAUCUACUUAAAAUUAAUUGAUCUCUGAACUUCUUGUAGCUUGUUUCCCUCAGUACAGUCGUGUUGCUAAUUGGCUGCUAUCUGAUUGUUUUGGGCAGGGUAUAUGUCUGCUAAUUCUCUUGUAUUGUACUCUCCCAAGUGCUCAGUACAGUGCUCUGCACAUAGUAGUUGCUCCAUAAAUAGCAUCGAUCUGGUCUGAAUAGAAACUAUCACAUGUUGCCUUUUUAACAUUAAACCUGGAUGUUAUAUAUUGUCAUACUUUUUGUUCUGUACAAUGUUUCCAUAGAUUGGAAAUCUCCAUUUUACAGAGCAAUUGUGACUUUAUAUACACCUUUAGGGUACUAGAUGUGGGCAGUCAGACUGAGAAAUUUUGUUAACUUCUGAUUAAAUAAGACUGCAUUAAUCAAACUUGUAACAUGUUGUAAACAUUUUGACUUUCCUUAGAACUUCUGUUUUAAUUCAGAUGUGUAAUAACUGUCCUGACUGUCAUUUGAAUAAUUGGAUGCUUCCCUUAGACACUUUACUUGUCAAACUCACUUGGUGAGUACCACAAACUUGUCUGAAGACUAGAUUGUAAACUCAUUGUGUGCAGGGAACAUGUCUACCAACUCUUAUUGUUCUCCCCAAGCAUUUGGUACAGUGCUCUGAAUGCGGUAAGCGGUCCAUAAAUGAUCAACUCUUAAUGACCAUUGACUUGUUUGCAUUGUUCUCAUUUGCUAGCUUUUACAAAUAAAUUCUAAUUUUUGGAAACCAUUA
Ornithorhynchus anatinus (platypus) is the source of this 3972-nucleotide long non-coding RNA. RefSeq lists it as uncharacterized. Lineage: Eukaryota; Metazoa; Chordata; Mammalia; Monotremata; Ornithorhynchidae. The record is from RefSeq and is a predicted model, not a curated record. The transcript has 5 exons.